This 564-nucleotide ribosomal RNA is filed under the name uncultured Glomeromycotina. RNAcentral describes it as "SSU rRNA". It matches the Rfam family "Eukaryotic small subunit ribosomal RNA", at positions 548 to 1114 of the family's 1831-position model. The record is from RNAcentral. Lineage: Eukaryota; Fungi; Glomeromycota.
UUGGAGGGCAAGUCUGGUGCCAGCAGCCGCGGUAAUUCCAGCUCCAAUAGCGUAUAUUAAAGUUGUUGCAGUUAAAAAGCUCGUAGUUGAAUUUCGGGAUCAAGGGAUCGGUCAUGCCUUGGUAUGUACUGGUCUUAUUGGUUCUCACCUUCUAAAGAACCAUGAUGUCAUUCAUUUGAUGUUAUGGGGAAUUAGGACUGUUACCUUGAAAAAAUUAGAGUGUUUAAAGCAAGCUUACGCUUGAAUACAUUAGCAUGGAAUAAUGAAAUAGGACAUCAGAUUCUAUUUUGUUGGUUUCUAGGAUCGAUGUAAUGAUUAAUAGGGAUAGUUGGGGGCAUUAGUAUUCAAUUGUCAGAGGUGAAAUUCUUGGAUUUAUUGAAGACUAACUACUGCGAAAGCAUUUGCCAAGGAUGUUUUCAUUAAUCAAGAACGAUAGUUAGGGGAUCGAAGACGAUCAGAUACCGUCGUAGUCUUAACCAUAAACUAUGCCGACUAGGGAUCGGAUGAUGUUAAUUUUUUAAUGACUCAUUCGGCGCCUUACGGGAAACCAAAGUGUUUGGGUUC